CCUACGGGUGGCAGCAGUAGGGAAUCUUCCACAAUGGGCGAAAGCCUGAAGGAGCAACGCCGCGUGGGUGAAGACGGCCCUCGGAUCGUAAAACCCUGUUUUUAGAGAAGUAAGUGCGUGAGAGUAUCUGUUCACGUUUGUACGGUAUCUAACCAGAACGCCACGGCUAACUACGUGCCAGCAGACGCGGUAAUACGUAGGUGGCAAGCGUUAUCUGGUUUUAUUGGGCGUAAAGGGAACGCAGGCGGUCUUUUAAGUCUGAUGUGAAAGCCUUCGGCUUAACCGGAGUAGUGCAUUGGAAACUGGCAGACUUGAGUGCAGAAGAGGAGAGUGGAACUCCAUGUGUAGCGGUGAAAUGCGGAGAUAUAUGGAAGAACACCAGUGGCGAAGGCGGCUCUCUGGUCUGUAACUGACGCUGAGGUUCGAAAGCGUGGGUAGCAAACAGGAUUAGAUACCCUUGUAGUC
Molecule: ribosomal RNA, 465 nt
Filed under: uncultured bacterium
Lineage: Bacteria
Description: partial 16S ribosomal RNA
Rfam family: Bacterial small subunit ribosomal RNA
Source: RNAcentral